RNAcentral lists this ribosomal RNA (449 nucleotides) under uncultured bacterium. Its description in RNAcentral is "bacterial SSU rRNA". It matches the Rfam family "Bacterial small subunit ribosomal RNA", at positions 330 to 793 of the family's 1533-position model. The record is from RNAcentral.
GCCAGACUCCUACGGGAGGCAGCAGUGGGGAAUAUUGGGCAAUGGGCGCAAGCCUGACCCAGCAACGCCGCGUGAAGGAAGAAGGCUUUCGGGUUGUAAACUUCUUUUCUCAGGGACGAAGCAAGUGACGGUACCUGGGGAAUAAGCCACGGCUAACUACGUGCCAGCAGCCGCGGUAAUACGUAGGUGGCGAGCGUUAUCCGGAUUUACUGGGUGUAAAGGGCGUGUAGGCGGGGACGCAAGUCAGAUGUGAAAUCUGGAGGCUCAACCUCCAAAUUGCAUUUGAAACUGUUUUUCUUGAGUACUGGAGAGGCAGACGGAAUUCCUUGUGUAGCGGUGAAAUGCGUAGAUAUAAGGAGGAACACCAGUGGCGAAGGCGGUCUGCUGGACAGCAACUGACGGUGAGGCGCGAAAGCGUGGGGAGCAAACAGGAUUAGAUACCCGCGUAA